Oryza glumipatula is the source of this 203-nucleotide non-coding RNA. The record is from Rfam. NCBI's taxonomy places the organism in Eukaryota, Viridiplantae, Streptophyta, Magnoliopsida, Poales, Poaceae.
AAAAAGACAAACCUGGUUUCUAUGCCUAACGUUUGACCGUUCGUUUUAUUUAAAAAAAUUAUAAAAAAAAUUAAAAAGACAAUCACGCAUAAAAUAUUAAUCAUAUUUUAUCAUCUAACAACAAUGAAAAUACGAAUUAUAAAAAAAUUUCAUAUAAGACGGACAGUCAAAGUUGGACACGUAAAGCCAGAGUUUGCCUUUUU